UCAUCUUCGGGGGUAGAGCACUGUUUCGGCUAGGGGGUCAUCCCGACUUACCAACCCGAUGCAAACUACGAAUACCGAAGAAUGUUAUCACGGGAGACACACGGCGGGUGCUAACGUCCGUCGUGAAGAGGGAAACAACCCAGACCGCCAGCUAAGGUCCCAAAGUCAUGGUUAAGUGGGAAACGAUGUGGGAAGGCACAGACAGCCAGGAUGUUGGCUUAGAAGCAGCCAUCAUUUAAAGAAAGCGUAAUAGCUCACUGGUCGAGUCGGCCUGCGCGGAAGAUGUAACGGGGCUAAACCAUGCACCGAAGCUGCGGCAGCGACACUAUGUGUUGUUGGGUAGGGGAGCGUUCUGUAAGCCUGCGAAGGUGACCUGUGAGGGUUGCUGGAGGUAUCAGAAGUGCGAAUGCUGACAUAAGUAACGAUAAAGCGGGUGAAAAGCCCGCUCGCCGGAAGACCAAGGGUUCCUGUCCAACGUUAAUCGGGGCAGGGUGAGUCGACCCCUAAGGCGAGGCCGAAAGGCGUAGUCGAUGGGAAACAGGUUAAUAUUCCUGUACUUGGUGUUACUGCGAAGGGGGGACGGAGAAGGCUAUGUUAGCCGGGCGACGGUUGUCCCGGUUUAAGCAUGUAGGCUGGUUAUCCAGGCAAAUCCGGAUAAUCAAGGCUGAGGUGUGAUGACGAGGCACUACGGUGCUGAAGUAACAAAUGCCCUGCUUCCAGGAAAAGCCUCUAAGCAUCAGGUAACAUCAAAUCGUACCCCAAACCGACACAGGUGGUCAGGUAGAGAAUACCAAGGCGCUUGAGAGAACUCGGGUGAAGGAACUAGGCAAAAUGGUGCCGUAACUUCGGGAGAAGGCACGCUGGUGUGUAGGUGAAGUCCCUGCGGAUGGAGCUGAGACCAGUCGAAGAUACCAGCUGGCUGCAACUGUUUAUUAAAAACACAGCACUGUGCAAACACGAAAGU
RNAcentral lists this ribosomal RNA (964 nucleotides) under Klebsiella pneumoniae. Its description in RNAcentral is "partial 23S ribosomal RNA". It matches the Rfam family "Bacterial large subunit ribosomal RNA", at positions 890 to 1838 of the family's 2925-position model. Lineage: Bacteria; Pseudomonadati; Pseudomonadota; Gammaproteobacteria; Enterobacterales; Enterobacteriaceae. The record is from RNAcentral.